AGGACCAAGUGCUGGGUUGGGAGUUAUUUUCCAUUUCCAGAGCGAGAACCCAGUAGCGCUCACCACAUCGGAACAGCCCAACACGUGAGGUUGUUCCCCUCGCUGCGUGGUGCUGGGUGUGGCCGGAGCAGUGACUGUGAUAGUGGGGGUCACGUGGGCCCCUCAUAUGCGGCUGCUGCCGCCUCUGCCAAUGGUGCCAGAUACCCACAGGGCUCUGGGCCCUGACACCACUGGUUCUGGUCGCGGGACCUCCUGAAGGUUGGAAGCUGGCUGACGGAGCUGGGAUAGAAGGCAGUAGAUAACCGAAGUAGGGCGUUUCCUUCACGUGUCUGGCUGGACCCAGAUGGCUGCCUGGCAUGGGGCGGAUACCAGAGCAGCGAGUGGACUGAGUUAGUGAUCACACAGCCUUA
Fukomys damarensis (Damara mole-rat) is the source of this 410-nucleotide long non-coding RNA. RefSeq lists it as uncharacterized. Lineage: Eukaryota; Metazoa; Chordata; Mammalia; Rodentia; Bathyergidae. The record is from RefSeq and is a predicted model, not a curated record. The transcript has 3 exons.